This 862-nucleotide ribosomal RNA is filed under the name Plenodomus artemisiae. RNAcentral's name for it is "partial large subunit ribosomal RNA". It matches the Rfam family "Eukaryotic large subunit ribosomal RNA", at positions 69 to 949 of the family's 3401-position model. Lineage: Eukaryota; Fungi; Ascomycota; Dothideomycetes; Pleosporales; Leptosphaeriaceae. The record is from RNAcentral.
CAGGGAUUGCCCUAGUAACGGCGAGUGAAGCGGCAACAGCUCAAAUUUGAAAUCUGGCUCUUUCAGAGUCCGAGUUGUAAUUUGCAGAGGGCGCUUUGGCGUUGGCAGCGGUCCAAGUUCCUUGGAACAGGACGUCACAGAGGGUGAGAAUCCCGUACGUGGUCGCUGGCCUUCGCCGUGUAAAGCCCCUUCGACGAGUCGAGUUGUUUGGGAAUGCAGCUCUAAAUGGGAGGUAAAUUUCUUCUAAAGCUAAAUACUGGCCAGAGACCGAUAGCGCACAAGUAGAGUGAUCGAAAGAUGAAAAGCACUUUGGAAAGAGAGUCAAAUAGCACGUGAAAUUGUUGAAAGGGAAGCGCUUGCAGCCAGACUUGCCUGUAGUUGCUCAUCCGGGCUUUUGCCCGGUGCACUCUUCUAUAGGCAGGCCAGCAUCAGUUUGGGCGGUUGGAUAAAGGUCUCUGUCAUGUACCUCUCUUCGGGGAGGCCUUAUAGGGGAGACGACAUGCAACCAGCCUGGACUGAGGUCCGCGCAUUUGCUAGGAUGCUGGCGUAAUGGCUGUAAGCGGCCCGUCUUGAAACACGGACCAAGGAGUCUAACAUCUAUGCGAGUGUUUGGGUGUCAAGCCCGAACGCGUAAUGAAAGUGAACGGAGGUGGGAACCCUUACGGGCGCACCAUCGACCGAUCCUGAUGUCUUCGGAAGGAUUUGAGUAAGAGCAUGGCUGUUGGGACCCGAAAGAUGGUGAACUAUGCUUGAAUAGGGUGAAGCCAGAGGAAACUCUGGUGGAGGCUCGCAGCGGUUCUGACGUGCAAAUCGAUCGUCAAAUUUGGGCAUAGGGGCGAAAGACUAAUCGAACUAUCUAGUA